This 551-nucleotide ribosomal RNA is filed under the name fungal sp. E15009A. Its description in RNAcentral is "eukaryotic LSU rRNA". The stretch from base 198 to 351 matches the Rfam family "5.8S ribosomal RNA". Lineage: Eukaryota; Fungi. The record is from RNAcentral.
GUGAACCUGCGGAGGGAUCAUUGCUGGAACGCGCUUCGGCGCACCCAGAAACCCUUUGUGAACUUAUACCUAUUGUUGCCUCGGCGUAGGCCGGCCUCUUCACUGAGGCCCCCUGGAAACAGGGAGCAGCCCGCCGGCGGCCAACCAAACUCUUGUUUCUAUAGUGAAUCUCUGAGUAAAAAACAUAAAUGAAUCAAAACUUUCAACAACGGAUCUCUUGGUUCUGGCAUCGAUGAAGAACGCAGCGAAAUGCGAUAAGUAAUGUGAAUUGCAGAAUUCAGUGAAUCAUCGAAUCUUUGAACGCACAUUGCGCCCUCUGGUAUUCCGGAGGGCAUGCCUGUUCGAGCGUCAUUUCAACCCUCAAGCCUGGCUUGGUGAUGGGGCACUGCCUGUAAGAGGGCAGGCCCUGAAAUCUAGUGGCGAGCUCGCCAGGACCCCGAGCGUAGUAGUUAUAUCUCGCUCUGGAAGGCCCUGGCGGUGCCCUGCCGUUAAACCCCCAACUUCUGAAAAUUUGACCUCGGAUCAGGUAGGAAUACCCGCUGAACUUAAGC